CGUAGGUGCGAGCGUUGUCCGGAAUUAUUGGGCGUAAAGAGCUCGUAGGCGGCUUGUCGCGUCGGUUGUGAAAGCCCGGGGCUUAACCCCGGGUCUGCAGUCGAUACGGGCAGGCUAGAGUUCGGUAGGGAGAUCGGAAUUCCUGGUGUAGCGGUGAAAUGCGCAGAUAUCAGGAGGAACACCGGUGGCGAAGGCGGAUCUCUGGGCCGAUACUGACGCUGAGGAGCGAAAGCGUGGGGAGCGAACAGGAUU
RNAcentral lists this ribosomal RNA (252 nucleotides) under uncultured bacterium. RNAcentral describes it as "partial 16S ribosomal RNA". It matches the Rfam family "Bacterial small subunit ribosomal RNA", at positions 526 to 779 of the family's 1533-position model. The record is from RNAcentral.